GAUGAAGAACGUAGCGAAAUGCGAUAAGUAAUGUGAAUUGCAGAAUUCAGUGAAUCAUCGAAUCUUUGAACGCACAUUGCGCCCGCCAGUAUUCUGGCGGGCAUGCCUGUUCGAGCGUCAUUACAACCCUCAGGCCCCCGGGCCUGGCGUUGGGGAUCGGCGGAAGCCCCCUGUGGGCACACGCCGUCCCUCAAAUACAGUGGCGGUCCCGCCGCAGCUUCCAUUGCGUAGUAGCUAACACCUCGCAACUGGAGAGCGGCGCGGCCAUGCCGUAAAACACCCAACUUCUGAAUGUUGACCUCGAAUCAGGUAGGAAUACCCGCUGAACUUAAGCAUAUUCAAUAAGCGGAGGA
Molecule: unclassified non-coding RNA, 353 nt
Filed under: soil metagenome
Description: partial contains 5.8S ribosomal RNA, internal transcribed spacer 2, and large subunit ribosomal RNA
Rfam family: 5.8S ribosomal RNA (bases 1-120)
Source: RNAcentral